RNAcentral lists this long non-coding RNA (1018 nucleotides) under Oryctolagus cuniculus (rabbit). RNAcentral's name for it is "lncRNA (ENSOCUG00000031508.1)". The record is from RNAcentral. Lineage: Eukaryota; Metazoa; Chordata; Mammalia; Lagomorpha; Leporidae.
ACCAUCCCCGGGAAGCAGCCAGAAUAGUUCCCAACUCUUCUGAGCUCCUGAGUGGUGCUGGGUCCUUAGGGGCCAUGGGCAGCCUGGGUGGGGUUCUGGGAGCUGUCAGCCUCUGUGGUCCUGGGCUGUGGGGGAGCUGGCUCCUUCCUGUGACCCCCACUGGCCUUUCCUUUGUCCUUGCCCCUUCUCCCUGCCUCUCUGUCUCUCCCCUGUUGGAGGCCCCAAGCCUGAUUUGGGGCUCUCUCUCCCUUCUUUGUCCUCUGUUCCUAUCCAGUCCAGGUGGCCUCUGUUCCUCACCUGACCAGGGAGCCCUGGGGUCAGAGCCCUGGGUGUCAGCAUCCGGGAGCAGAUGCCAGGACCUGGCUCAGGGCUCAGGUUCAGAGACAACUCUUCCCCGGGGCUGAAGGAAGCUCCUUAGGCCUUAGUAGUGGAGUCCAUGUGAAGACAGCAUUAUCACAGAGAAAUGGUCAUGAGUCAGGCAGCUCCCAGAACUGGAGCAGGUGCUGAGGACCCCACUCCAUGACAGGUGCCACAGCAUUGCUGGACAACAGGAAGUGAGGUGGGGCGAUCAGCACCGGGGCUCCAGUUCAGUCCCCACACCUGCCAGUCGAGCACCUCUUACUAUUUAAUUGCUCACAGCCUAAUUAGUGAACUGGAUACAGGGCCUUGUGCUUCAGCCACAGCACAGUGCCUGGAUGAAGCCAUCUGAGUUGGGUCUUUGGGCUCAGUGUAUGUCCCUUAUCCAGUCCGUGGCUUCCCAUGAAUUUUAUUUAACAUCUGGUAAGGCUUCCCGUGAGGUUGUCUUCUGUCUAGAGGUAGAAAGAGGUGGCUGGGUGACGUUUAAUUGAAUUCUGAAAUCGGAAUACAAAGCCUUGUUUUAGAAACUCCGUUCUGUGACUCUGGUUGACCCUGGCUGGUGUACUGGGACGGUUGUUCCGGACAACCAAUGACUGGAUCUGGGGAGGCAGGGGGAGCCGGAAACAGGGUGGAGCCUCAGAGCACCUGCAGGUGCUGAGCC